RNAcentral lists this ribosomal RNA (1323 nucleotides) under Acanthopleura loochooana. Its description in RNAcentral is "16S ribosomal RNA". The stretch from base 878 to 1270 matches the Rfam family "Bacterial large subunit ribosomal RNA", at positions 2049 to 2651 of the family's 2925-position model. The record is from RNAcentral. Lineage: Eukaryota; Metazoa; Mollusca; Polyplacophora; Chitonida; Chitonidae.
GAAAUAGAUUUAUCUUAAGAGUUAAAAUUUAUUUGUGUUUAAUGGAUAAAAUGUAUUAUAAAGUUAUUAAGGAUUAGUAAUUCUUAUGAAAAUUUGUAUAUAGUUUAAUAAAGUACUGUAUAGGAAUCUAUUUAAUAUGCCUAGAGAAGUAUAAAUUAAUUUUAGUACCUUUUGCAUUAUGGUUUAACGAGAGGGAACAUUUUUUAAUGUUAUCUAGAAAAAAGAAGAGUUAUAUUUAAGCGAAGAAAUAAUGUGGCAUAAUUAUUUCGAGACUUAAUUAUGGUAGUGAAACGCUUUCGGGUUUUUUGAUAGCUAGUUGGAGGAGAAAAACAUUUUAGUGUGGUUUAUAAAAAAUAAUUUAAUAAGCUUGUUUUAUUUAAUUUUUUUUGUAGUAUUUUGUUUUUUAGGUUGAGCUAAAAAAUUUGAUGAAAAUCGAUUGGUAAAAUAGAGUGAAUGUAGGAUUAGUAGUUUUCAGCAUGUUUAUAGUUUUAUAACAGAUAAUUAUAUUAAGAUUAUAGGGUGAAAGAUUUUCUGUUAUAUUCUCUUUUGGUUUGGUAUUAUUUUAAAAUUAGUGUUUAUGUUAAAAUUAGUAUUUAUUUAUCUUUUAGCUUAUUGGUGUUGAACUUAAGGCUACAAAAAGAUUUUUAAUAUAAACGAAAUAAAGGAACUCGGCAAAUAUGGAUUUCGCCUGUUUAACAAAAACAUCGCUCUUUGUGUUUUAUAAAUAAGGAGUCGUACCUGCCCGGUGAAAAAUUUUAACGGCCGCAGUACCCUGACUGUGCAAAGGUAGCAUAAUCACUUGCCUUUUAAUUGGAGGCUGGAAUGAAUGGUUUGACGGAAUCCUGCUGUCUCUAUUUCGUUAGACAGAAAUUAAUUUUCAGGUGAAGAAGCCUAAAUUUAAUCGAAAGACGAAAAGACCCUGUCGAACUUUAUGAAGAGUAUGGAAUCGUUAUUUGUAGUAUAAAUGUUUUUUGUAAUUUUCUUUUUGUUGGGGUGACAGAAGAACAAAUGAAGCUUCUUUUAGUUUUGUAAAUUGAUGAAUUAAAAAGAUCCAUAAAUAAAUUUAUGAUAAAAAGAUUAGUUACCGCAGGGAUAACAGCGUUAUUUCUCUGGAGAGUUCAAAUUGAAGGAGAAGAUUGCGACCUCGAUGUUGGAUUGAAAUUCCUAAUAGGCGCAGAAGCUUGUUGGAGGAGGUCUGUUCGACCUUUAAAUUUUCACAUGAUCUGAGUUCAAACCGGUGUGAGCCAGGUUGGUUUCUAUCUUCGAUAUAAUUUUGUUAGUUUUAGUACGAAAGGAUUGAAUUGACAAAAAUUUUUUGUAAGU